AUGUCCCCAAGGGUUCUGCUGGUGCUACUGUUAGUGUUUGUUGGUGGGGUCAGGUGCCAAGUCCAGGUGAACCAGAGCUGGCUGGUGUUCACCAGGGAAGGAGAGACCGCUAGCAUUGCCUGCAAGUACGAAACUAGCUCUUUCUACAGUUUGCAGUGGUACAGGCAAUUCCCGGGAGAAGGACCAACACAUCUGCUCACGAUAGUGGGAGAGGAAGUCAGAAAGGGACCCAACUUCAGUGCUGUGCUCAAAAAAGACAAGAAGACGAGUCAUCUGCACAUCUCAGGAGUCCAGCACAAAGACACAGCCACCUACUUCUGCGCUGUGGAAGCACAAUGA
Non-coding RNA from Sphaerodactylus townsendi, 339 nucleotides. The record is from the annotation of a RefSeq genome assembly. Lineage: Eukaryota; Metazoa; Chordata; Lepidosauria; Squamata; Sphaerodactylidae.